This 356-nucleotide unclassified non-coding RNA is filed under the name uncultured fungus. RNAcentral describes it as "partial contains 5.8S ribosomal RNA and internal transcribed spacer 2". The stretch from base 1 to 133 matches the Rfam family "5.8S ribosomal RNA", at positions 22 to 154 of the family's 154-position model. Lineage: Eukaryota; Fungi. The record is from RNAcentral.
UGGUUCUGGCAUCGAUGAAGAACGCAGCGAAAUGCGAUAAGUAAUGUGAAUUGCAGAAUUCAGUGAAUCAUCGAAUCUUUGAACGCACAUUGCGCCCCCUGGCAUUCCGGGGGGCAUGCCCGUUCGAGCGUCAUAUAACAAAACUCACGCCUGGCGUGGUAUUGGGCCUAGGACCCAGGGUCGGGCCCCAAAUAUUUCGGCUAUAAAUUAGUAAAUGGGGAGUGCUGUAGCAUGGUGCCGCAAAUAUCGACAUAUAUAUGCGGCGCGGAGUUUGUAGGCCCCUGCCCUGCGCGUUCGCAUCGGUGACUCGGACUGAACACAAGUUUGACCUCGGAUCGGGUAGGAAUACCCGCUGA